GUACUUGCUUCAGCAGCACAUAUAAUGAACUUGGAAUGAUACAGAGAAGAUUAACAUGACUCCUGCUCAAGGAUAACACACAAAUUCAUGAAGCAUUCAGUAUUUUG
Molecule: small nuclear RNA, 107 nt
Organism: Myotis daubentonii (Daubenton's bat)
Lineage: Eukaryota; Metazoa; Chordata; Mammalia; Chiroptera; Vespertilionidae
Source: RefSeq, a predicted model, not a curated record